GACGAACGCUGGCGGCGUGCUUAACACAUGCAAGUCGAACGGAAAGGCCCUGCUUUUGUGGGGUGCUCGAGUAGCGAACGGGUGAGUAACACGUGAGUAACCUGCCCUUGACUUUGGGAUAACUUCAGGAAACUGGGGCUAAUACCGGAUAGGAGCUCCUGCUGCAUGGUGGGGGUUGGAAAGUUUCGGCGGUUGGGGAUGGACUCGCGGCUUAUCAGCUUGUUGGUGGGGUAGUGGCUUACCAAGGCUUUGACGGGUAGCCGGCCUGAGAGGGUGACCGGCCACAUUGGGACUGAGAUACGGCCCAGACUCCUACGGGAGGCAGCAGUGGGGAAUAUUGCACAAUGGGCGGAAGCCUGAUGCAGCAACGCCGCGUGCGGGAUGACGGCCUUCGGGUUGUAAACCGCUUUCGCCUGUGACGAAGCGUGAGUGACGGUAAUGGGUAAAGAAGCACCGGCUAACUACGUGCCAGCAGCCGCGGUGAUACGUAGGGUGCGAGCGUUGUCCGGAUUUAUUGGGCGUAAAGGGCUCGUAGGUGGUUGAUCGCGUCGGAAGUGUAAUCUUGGGGCUUAACCCUGAGCGUGCUUUCGAUACGGGUUGACUUGAGGAAGGUAGGGGAGAAUGGAAUUCCUGGUGAGCGGUGGAAUGCGCAGAUAUCAGGAGGAACACCAGUGGCGAAGGCGGUUCUCUGGGCCUUUCCUGACGCUGAGGAGCGAAAGCGUGGGGAGCGAACAGGCUUAGAUACCCUGGUAGUCCACGCUGUAAACGGUGGGUACUAGGUGUGGGGUCCAUUCCACGGGUUCCGUGCCGUAGCUAACGCUUUAAGUACCCCGCCUGGGGAGUACGGCCGCAAGGCUAAAACUCAAAGGAAUUGACGGGGCCCCGCACAAGCGGCGGAGCAUGCGGAUUAAUUCGAUGCAACGCGUAGAACCUUACCUGGGUUUGACAUGGAUCGGGAGCGCUCAGAGAUGGGUGUGCCUCUUUUGGGGUCGGUUCACAGGAGGUGCAUGGCUGUCGUCAGCUCGUGUCGUGAGAUGUUGGGUUAAGUCCCGCAACGAGCGCAACCCUUGUUCACUGUUGCCAGCACGUUAUGGUGGGGACUCAGUGGAGACCGCCGGGGUCAACUCGGAGGAAGGUGGGGAUGACGUCAAGUCAUCAUGCCCCUUAUGUCCAGGGCUUCACGCAUGCUACAAUGGCUGGUACAGAGAGUGGCGAGCCUGUGAGGGUGAGCGAAUCCCGGAAAGCCGGUCUCAGUUCGGAUUGGGGUCUGCAACUCGACCUCAUGAAGUCGGAGUCGCUAGUAAUCGCAGAUCAGCAACGCUGCGGUGAAUACGUUCCCGGGGCU
Molecule: ribosomal RNA, 1345 nt
Filed under: uncultured bacterium
Lineage: Bacteria
Description: bacterial SSU rRNA
Rfam family: Bacterial small subunit ribosomal RNA
Source: RNAcentral